UGUAAGAUCCCUGAAAGAUGAUCAGGUUGAUAGGUCUGAGGUGGAAGUGUGGCGACACAUGGAGCUGACAGAUACUAAUCGAUCGAGGACUUAACCAA
This 98-nucleotide ribosomal RNA is filed under the name Bacillus velezensis. Its description in RNAcentral is "partial 23S ribosomal RNA". It matches the Rfam family "Bacterial large subunit ribosomal RNA", at positions 2827 to 2925 of the family's 2925-position model. The record is from RNAcentral. Lineage: Bacteria; Bacillati; Bacillota; Bacilli; Caryophanales; Bacillaceae.